GAUGAACGCUGGCGGCGUGCUUAACACAUGCAAGUCGAACGGGAAUUAUUUUAUUGAAACUUCGGUCGAUUUAAUUUAAUUCUAGUGGCGGACGGGUGAGUAACGCGUGGGUAACCUGCCUUAUACAGGGGGAUAACAGUCAGAAAUGGCUGCUAAUACCGCAUAAGCGCACAGAGCUGCAUGGCUCAGUGUGAAAAACUCCGGUGGUAUAAGAUGGACCCGCGUUGGAUUAGCUUGUUGGCAGGGUAACGGCCUACCAAGGCGACGAUCCAUAGCCGGCCUGAGAGGGUGAACGGCCACUUUGGGACUGAGACACGGCCCAGACUCCUACGGGAGGCAGCAGUGGGGAAUAUUGCACAAUGGGGGAAACCCUGAUGCAGCGACGCCGCGUGAAGGAAGAAGUAUCUCGGUAUGUAAACUUCUAUCAGCAGGGAAGAUAGUGACGGUACCUGACUAAGAAGCCCCGGCUAACUACGUG
This 478-nucleotide ribosomal RNA is filed under the name uncultured bacterium. Its description in RNAcentral is "partial 16S ribosomal RNA". It matches the Rfam family "Bacterial small subunit ribosomal RNA", at positions 28 to 507 of the family's 1533-position model. The record is from RNAcentral.